CUAGAAUCUUGGAUGCUAAUUCUGUGUCUGCCACCAACUGAUCCUCAGUUUCCCCAUGGAAUGAGGACAGUAAUGGUUGUAGUAACUGACUCAGAAGACUCUUAAGGAAGUUGUUUAUAAGUCUUAAAGCAUUUGUAAAAAAGAAACUGAGGCUUGCCAGAUGUCACACAACUAUUCAGUAGCAGAGUUGGAAUUUGAACCCAGAGCUCCUAACCCAGACUCUACUGAUUUUAUAAAUGAGGAAACUGAGGCCAAUGGGAUGAAAUGAUAUAUGCAGGAUCACUCAGCUAGUAAGUGUCUAAGGCUGGAUUUGAACUCAAGAAGAGGAAUCUUCCUGACUCCAGACCAGGUACUCUAUCCACUGAACCACCAAAAAUAGACUAUAUAAAGGUAUAUUAUAUAUUCUAUCUAUCUAUCUUAUUAGUAUAUAUUUACAUAUAUUGUAUAAAAUAUAGUUGAUUUAUUUUAUAUUAUAAAUAUAUAUACUCUAAUAGGCAUUCAAGGGGAUUGGGAAAGGCUUCUUAUAGAAGGAGGAAUUUUAGCUGGGAUUUCAAGGAAGCCAGGAGGUGGAGAUGAGGAAGGUGAAAAUGCCCAAACCCUGGAGCGGAUGGGAAACUACCGGAGUUUAUUGAGCAAGGGGCUGACAUGAUUAUGUUUGACCUUUUGGAAGAUAGCUUUGACAGCUGAGUAGAGAAUGGACUGGAGCAGGGAGAGGUUUAAAGCAGGCAGACCCUCUUCCAGCAGGCUACUGCAAUAAUCAAGUCACAAGAUGAUUAGGACUGUAUCCGGGUGAUG
This 795-nucleotide long non-coding RNA is filed under the name Monodelphis domestica (gray short-tailed opossum). Its description in RNAcentral is "lncRNA (ENSMODG00000040526.1)". Lineage: Eukaryota; Metazoa; Chordata; Mammalia; Didelphimorphia; Didelphidae. The record is from RNAcentral.